AGAGUUUGAUCCUGGCUCAGAACGAACGCUGGUAGCGUGGAUUAGGCAUGCAAGUCGAACGGGAUCACGAGGAUAGCAAUAUUCUUGUGUGAGAGUGGCGGAUUGGGGAGGAACACGUGAACAACCUGCCCUUGAGUUCGGGAAAACCAUUGGAAACGAUGGCUAAUACCGGAUGUGGCGUCUGAGGACAUCCUCGGAACGCUAAAGGGGGCCGCAAGGCUCCCGCUCAUCGAGGGGUUCGCGCACCAUCAGCUUGUUGGCGGGGUAACGGCCCACCAAGGCCUACGGUUAGCUGGUCUGAGAGGAUGACCAGCCCCACUGGGACUGAGAUACUGCCCAGACUCCUACGGGAGGCUGCAGUCGAGGAUCAUUUGCAAUGGGCGAAAGCCUGACAAUGCGACGCUGCGUGGAGGAUGAAGGCCUUCGGGUUGUAAACUCCUGUCAUAGGGGAACAGGCGAUCCUACCUAAUACGUAGGUGAGUUGAGUGUACCCUAAGAGGAAUUGGCGGCUAACUCUGUGCCAGCAGCCGCGGUAAUACAGAGGCCAAGAGCGUUGUUCGGAUUUACUGGGCGUAAAGGGCGCGUAGGCGGUCUUGCGUGUCAAGUGUGAAAUCUCCGGGCUCAACCCGGAAAGUGCGCUUGAAACUACAGGACUCGAGUCUGGGAGAGGGAAUCGGAAUAUAGGGUGUAGCGGUGAAAUGCAUAGAUAUUACUCAGAACACCGAUUGCGAAGGCAUCUCACGAAUCCGUCAUUGACGCUGAGGCACGAAAGCGUGGGGAUCAAACAGGAUUAGAUACCCUGGUAGUCCACGCAGUAAACGAUGAUAACUAACCGUCGGCGAUAGACAGUCGGUGGCCAAGCGAAAGCGAUAAGUUAUCCACCUGGGGAGUACGUUCGCAAGAAUGAAACUCAAAGGAAUUGACGGGGGCCCGCACAAGCGGAGGAACAUGUGGUUUAAUUCGAUGAUACGCGAGGAACCUUACCCGGGCUCGAACGGCUAGUGAACGACUCAGAGAUGAGAAGGUCCUUCGGGACACUAGUCGAGGUGCUGCAUGGUUGUCGUCAGCUCGUGUCGUGAGAUGUUGGCUUAAGUGCCAUAACGAGCGCAACCCUUGUCGCCAGUUACCAUCAUUCAGUUGGGGACUCUGGCGAGACUGCCACCGCAAGGUGUGAGGAAGGCGGGGAUGACGCCAAAUCAGCACGGCCCUUACGUCCGGGGCGACACACGUGUUACAAUGGUAGCUACAGAGGGAAGCCACCUGGUGACAGGGAGCAGAUCUCGAAAAGCUAUCUCAGUUCGGAUUGGAGUCUGCAACUCGACUCCAUGAAGCUGGAUUCGCUAGUAAUCGCGCAUCAGCCAUGGCGCGGUGAAUACGUUCCCGGGCCUUGCACACACCGCCCGUCA
Molecule: ribosomal RNA, 1406 nt
Filed under: uncultured bacterium
Lineage: Bacteria
Description: partial 16S ribosomal RNA
Rfam family: Bacterial small subunit ribosomal RNA
Source: RNAcentral